RNAcentral lists this unclassified non-coding RNA (334 nucleotides) under soil metagenome. RNAcentral's name for it is "partial contains 5.8S ribosomal RNA, internal transcribed spacer 2, and large subunit ribosomal RNA". The stretch from base 1 to 120 matches the Rfam family "5.8S ribosomal RNA", at positions 35 to 154 of the family's 154-position model. The record is from RNAcentral.
GAUGAAGAACGUAGCAAAAUGCGAUAAGUAGUGUGAAUUGCAGAAUUCAGUGAAUCAUCGAAUCUUUGAACGCACAUUGCGCCCCUUGGUAUUCCAUGGGGCAUGCCUGUUCGAGCGUCAUUUGUACCUUCAAGCUUUGCUUGGUGUUGGGUGUUUGUCCUUUCUCUUGCAGAGGGACUCGCCUUAAAGUAAUUGGCAGCCAGUGUUUUGGUUUUGAAGCGCAGCACAAGUCGCGAUUCAAAGCUAUACGCCAGCUUCCACAAGCCUUUUUCACUUUUGACCUCGGAUCAGGUAGGGAUACCCGCUGAACUUAAGCAUAUCAAUAAGCGGAGGA